This 991-nucleotide unclassified non-coding RNA is filed under the name Hevea brasiliensis (rubber tree). The record is from RNAcentral. Lineage: Eukaryota; Viridiplantae; Streptophyta; Magnoliopsida; Malpighiales; Euphorbiaceae.
AAAAAAGGCUUUCAGUAGCGUCCUUAGAAUCUAAGCCUUUUGAAGCGCCAGUAGUUGUAGCUGUGGGUAGGGCUUUCGUUCUUAUCGCUCCGGGUUUCGAUCUAUAUGACCUCCGGGCAGUACAAAGUACACCUCUUCCGUAGAGGCAGGUAGUAACCUAACCUUUAAGAGUCUGUUCAAGGGAGGAGCCCUCUUAUCUAUCAAUGGAAAGAUCUCCGUGCGUGGCGUGAUAAGGAAUCCUAGAAAAGAUCGACUGAGACUCCCUCCCCGGUCCCACGAAGAUCUCUACAUACUUGUCUGUUCAGCCCAGGACAACUGAGAUCUUCUGGUCUGCGUGCGUGGGAGCAGCUCAAACAAAGAAGAGUCUGGUCUGGUCUGAAUUCAGGCCCGGCCCGCCCGUCUGCAGCUAGGUUCGGGAAUGGCGCCAGGCGAGGACGCCGCUAUACCCCUUAAUGAAUCGAAUGGUCCUUCGACCUUCAUUUGAUUCCGACGGCCGGCAUAGAUCUCAUGAGACCCGCCCACUAUUACUACGAAAAAAGCCCUGCCCUUUUCCUUCGCUACUAGGGAGAGUAAGCAACCUCUAUUAGCGCCGGACCGAAUUGAUCGUGUCAUGUGCAACGUCCAUCAAUGAUGGUUCAUUAAUGUCCAUUGAUUUAGACUCCUUCCCCCUUCCCAACUACGAAUAAGAUCGAGAGGAGCCCGAAAGAAAGCCCCCAAACCAAGAACGGAAACGGAAGCCUUUCUAUUCACUCCCCAUUCUCUCUUAAAUAAAGCUCGCCCUCGAGCCCUGGGCAGGUCGGCCGGGUCUUUCCUUUCCCUGUUGUUCUGUUUCCGCCACGAGAAAGACGCACGGAAGAGGUAUGCCCAGUGCGCGGAGGAUCCGUUGAGAGUUUCUGUUGUCUCGGUAGGGAACUGUACGAUCUUUUCCCCUAUUGUAUUGAAUCAAUAAAAAAAGAGGUCAGUGCUACGGCUCCCUAUUGUUUGAUCCAAU